This 497-nucleotide long non-coding RNA is filed under the name Panax ginseng (ginseng). RNAcentral describes it as "long non-coding RNA (PGIN_LNC001546)". The record is from RNAcentral. Lineage: Eukaryota; Viridiplantae; Streptophyta; Magnoliopsida; Apiales; Araliaceae.
CCAGAUCACUCAAUAACAUCAUAAUACACCACUUUAACCAAUCAAUUACAACAAAUAACAUCAGAUCAAAGGAUUUCUAAGUUAGGGUUUUUACCACUUUUUGAGCUUUGAUUUUUGAUUCUGACUUCUUUGAUUCUGUUCUUGAUAAUCGUGGGGCUGAUUUUAGUGACUGAAAUGAUAUAAGAAUUCGUGGGUUUGAGAGAAAAAAAAAUUGGUGAGAGCAAGAGAGAAAAGUGAGCAACUUUGGUACACUUUUCUCUCUCUUAAUCAAUAUGUAAUGUGAUAUAAUGUUGCUUGAUCUGAUUUGCUGUCAAUUAUAGAGCUCAUAGGACAAAUCUAGGGUGAUUGGCCGGAUUUUGUGGAGAUGGCUAGCAAUAAUGCACAAAUAAUUCACCAAUAAUGCACUAAUGGGACAAAAAGGACAUUUUGGUAAUUUCACUUAUAGUUUCAAGGGCAUUCUAGACAUUAGCUACAACCCUUAGGGUUUGACCAUUAGG